CCCUUCCCACAAGCAUUGGGUCCGAGUAAGGUUGGAUCCAAGUGAAGUUGAAAUUGAAUCUUGACAUGUGGUGGAGUGUUGCCUUUGGGGUACUGGGAGUUUUUGCUAUGGUUUCAGGGUUUGAUGUUUUUAUCAAUUUUUGUAAGCCUCCCAGGUUUAUGGUAUGUAAAAUGUAUGUAAGAGCUGCUAGCUGUGAGUUCAAGGGGACUGAGACAAUGAAGUCCAAUGAAGCCAGUUACUAGUUAUAGAAAUACAAGAUUUCUUCUGUCUCAGUUACAGAAACCUAGCAUUCAACAUUCAUCCUUCUUCUAAAUUGGAGCAGCUUUGGCUGAAGAGUCUUCAAAGAUCCCUCUUUAUGCUUUGCACUAUAUAGCAUCUCUUUUAGUGUAUUAAAGCUCUUCCUUUCCCCCUUUUCCUUUUUAAUAAACCAUGUGGUUUAAACAUC
Pantherophis guttatus is the source of this 445-nucleotide long non-coding RNA. RefSeq lists it as uncharacterized. NCBI's taxonomy places the organism in Eukaryota, Metazoa, Chordata, Lepidosauria, Squamata, Colubridae. The record is from RefSeq and is a predicted model, not a curated record.